RNAcentral lists this long non-coding RNA (540 nucleotides) under Lynx canadensis (Canada lynx). RNAcentral describes it as "lncRNA (ENSLCNG00005013818.1)". Lineage: Eukaryota; Metazoa; Chordata; Mammalia; Carnivora; Felidae. The record is from RNAcentral.
GUUGGGCAAAGAGGCCCAUGGUCGUUUCCAUGUAAUUAUCCCUGUAACAACUCAGGAGCUGAUUAUUUUCUGAGCAUCCUUUCCACAUUCUUUAGGGUGGGUGCUCACUGGGUAUACCUGAUUGCCUGGUGGGGAAGAGAUCAAGUUAUUGUGUUUUGCUGUCUAUAGCAUCAAUGGUACUCCACCAGAAGAGUGACUUGUUUCCAAGGUUGAGGUUUCACCAGUAGCACCUACAAGGCCUAUGUGUGCUGCAGAGACCUCUUUCGGAGUUGAGUGAGCACCAGGAUUCCUGCUCCCUUCUCUUGUACUCUAUUCUCCACUCAGGAAUUUUCUGGGAGUGGGGAGAAAUAAAGUUUUGAUAAUCAUGUGGAUGCUAAUAUAGUAUAUAAAAAGAGACUGGUAUAUGUGGUAGUCUAGAUUUGUGUCCCUUUCUCUCAUUAGGUGCAUCCUCAGUAGUAGCUCUAGUAUGCAUAAGUGACAGAUUUUACCUGUAUUGGUAGGGUACUGAGAAGUGGAGGGCCAGAGGAAGAAGUAAGGAAG